GACGAACGCUGGCGGCGUGCUUAACACAUGCAAGUCGAACGGAAAGGCCCUGCUUUUGUGGGGUGCUCGAGUGGCGAACGGGUGAGUAACACGUGAGUAACCUGCCCUUGACUUUGGGAUAACUUCAGGAAACUGGGGCUAAUACCGGAUAGGAGCUCCUGCUGCAUGGUGGGGGUUGGAAAGUUUCGGCGGUUGGGGAUGGACUCGCGGCUUAUCAGCUUGUUGGUGGGGUAGUGGCUUACCAAGGCUUUGACGGGUAGCCGGCCUGAGAGGGUGACCGGCCACAUUGGGACUGAGAUACGGACCAGACUCCUACGGGAGGCAGCAGUGGGGAGUAUUGCACAAUGGGCGGAAGCCUGAUGCAGCAACGCCGCGUGCGGGAUAACGGCCUUCGGGUUGUAAACCGCUUUCGCCUGUGACGAAGCGUGAGUGACGGUAAUGGGUAAAGAAGCACCGGCUAACUACGUG
This 468-nucleotide ribosomal RNA is filed under the name uncultured bacterium. RNAcentral's name for it is "partial 16S ribosomal RNA". It matches the Rfam family "Bacterial small subunit ribosomal RNA", at positions 28 to 507 of the family's 1533-position model. The record is from RNAcentral.